AACUCGCCUACAUGAAGCUGGAAUUGCUAGUAAUCACAGGCCAGCAUACUGUGGUGAAUACGUUCCCGGGCCUUGUACACACCGCCCGUCACACCAUGAGAGUUGAGAAUACCCGAAGCCCAUGUCAAAGUGGUCGAAGGUAGGCUUGAUGAUUGGGGUGAAGUCGUAACAAGGUAAC
Molecule: ribosomal RNA, 178 nt
Filed under: uncultured bacterium
Lineage: Bacteria
Description: partial 16S ribosomal RNA
Rfam family: Bacterial small subunit ribosomal RNA
Source: RNAcentral